Long non-coding RNA from Musca domestica (house fly), 553 nucleotides. RefSeq lists it as uncharacterized. Lineage: Eukaryota; Metazoa; Arthropoda; Insecta; Diptera; Muscidae. The record is from RefSeq and is a predicted model, not a curated record. The transcript has 3 exons.
GAGAGAGACGGAAAAAUGUGAGAGAUACAUAAAAAUUUGAAGAGCCUUCGGCUCUGUUGUGGUCAACAAUUUUGAACUGCUUUGUGUUUGACGAAGUUCAAUAUUACAAUAUACGAAGUUGCAACGAAUGUGACUGUCAUAUUCCCCCUCCUCCUCUUUAUCGAAUCUCUUUCUGUGGUCUGAAUAUGUGUAAGAAAGAUCAAAUAGACAAUCACUUCUUUAGUUGGUGUUGAAUAGUGCAAGGGAGUAGUGCACGUGCUCGUGGGAAUAGUGCUUGGUAUAAAGUUGUUUUUUUCUCUGGUGUCUUUUUUUUUUUUUUGGGUGCUCGUGCGUACAUUUUUGUCGGUGUUUGGCAUUUUGUAGUUUUUUUCACAAUGGCUGAGGAAUAUAAUUUAAAAUCACUCGGUAAGGCGUUAAAACAUAAAAUUUAUAUUAAACAUAUAUCUUUCUUUACCAGCCCUCCCUUAAAUAUACAUACAAUUUGUAAUGGAAAUACAUAUUUUAGAAAUAUGCGGUAUUAAUAAAUAAAUAAAAAAUAAACUUGUAAAAAUUA